Molecule: long non-coding RNA, 813 nt
Organism: Erinaceus europaeus (western European hedgehog)
Lineage: Eukaryota; Metazoa; Chordata; Mammalia; Eulipotyphla; Erinaceidae
Exons: 3
Source: RefSeq, a predicted model, not a curated record
UGUUACUGUUCCUCACUUUAUAUGAACUGCUGUAAAUAAUGUUAUCAUCUGCAUGAAAACUCAACCCACAGGUUUCUAUUUGUGUCUUGUCUCUCCCUGAACACAAUUAGAGGCACUCUGUCAGGAGAGACAGGUAGACCAGCAGUCCCUGCUUUCUGAAACUCUCUCUGGACUUCAAGACAUACUUUGGGAACUUGGUUCCCUAGUAGAGGACAAGUUGUGGCCCCAGAUGGACACACAGGACUCAGAGAGGGACAGAACCUGUCUGAGCCUCACACCUUCCAUCCUGCCAGUGUCCUGCUCAGUCCUGAGGUGGGCAGUGGGCACUGAACACUGACCACAAGGACAGAAGCACUUCCCUCUCUGUCGUAGCUGGUCAGGAGGGGGUCAGGGAGCACUGGGUACAGGAGCCCCUCCAACUCUGCUCAGAGUCAAGCCCAUUUCCUCUCUUCUCUUCACUGUCCCUCAGGACACCUGCCCUGUUGUUCCUCAGAUGGGCAGGAGAUGGGCUCCUUCCAGGGACUGAUGGCGCCUUCCAGGGGCGACAGUGAGAGGAAAUGGCGCUCACACCUGCUUCUGUCAGCCUCCUGGGGAGGUCCUAUCAGGAGAUGGGUCCUCUCCACAGGGACCUUCUAGAAAGCAUCAAGGAGGGAAGUCCAGCACUCAGGGGCUCUGAGAGUCUCUGAGCAGGCCCACGUGAUGGAGGAGGGAAGGGCAGGAGGGUCCCUGGGACCCAGCACAGAGCCUGCCCUCAGCUCAGCUCAGCCUCUGACACAGGGAGCUGGUUGAUCCCCUCUGCUCACACUGGGGACA